AACAUGCUUGCAACCUACAUAACACGAGGCCGCACUAUGGACCAGGACCCCUAUGGACUAGGUCCUCCUGCUGCAAGAAAAUCCACAAAGAUGAAAAACACACAAAAACUGAAUGGGUUCUUAUUUUUGAUAAAUAAUCAACCAAAAAUCGUAUCCAAAACUGAACAGAAAAUAAUAUUAAUGAGCUGUAAGUACAAGUGAAAUGAAAAUAAACCGGAACCUGAAACUGAACUGAAAUUCCCCGAAAUAUACAUUUAGAAAACGUUUCAAGAAACUACAUUAGACCGAGUCCUGUGGAUGAAGGACUACAUCCAGGUAUAAAAGAACAAGUACAAUACAUAAUUAGAACAAGUACAAUGCAUAGAUGGAACAAGUACAACACAUAAUCGUAUCCAAAACUGAACAGUUAAAAGCAAAUAACAUUAAUACAUGUAUUAUAAAAGGUUUCCAGUAUCCAGUAGCCUUGAAUGAUGACCACUGGGAAGACUGAGGAGUCCAGCUGACGAUCGAUUCCUGCUACAUAUCCAAACAAUAAAAGACGUCGUAAUAUAAGAUCUUGCAUGGGACGCCAGGUGCAAGUUAAUGUAAAAUCAAGUAUUACGACACUCCCACAUGUCUGGGUGAAACCAAAAAAAAAACUAUUAAAAAUAUUUAAAUGGCCCUAUUAUAA
Non-coding RNA from Drosophila bipectinata, 670 nucleotides. The record is from RefSeq and is a predicted model, not a curated record. Lineage: Eukaryota; Metazoa; Arthropoda; Insecta; Diptera; Drosophilidae.